AUGAACGCUGGCGGCGUGCCUAAUACAUGCAAGUCGAGCGAACGGACGAGAAGCUUGCUUCUCUGAUGUUAGCGGCGGACGGGUGAGUAACACGUGGAUAACCUACCUAUAAGACUGGGAUAACUUCGGGAAACCGGAGCUAAUACCGGAUAAUAUUUUGAACCGCAUGGUUCAAAAGUGAAAGACGGUCUUGCUGUCACUUAUAGAUGGAUCCGCGCUGCAUUAGCUAGUUGGUAAGGUAACGGCUUACCAAGGCAACGAUGCAUAGCCGACCUGAGAGGGUGAUCGGCCACACUGGAACUGAGACACGGUCCAGACUCCUACGGGAGGCAGCAGUAGGGAAUCUUCCGCAAUGGGCGAAAGCCUGACGGAGCAACGCCGCGUGAGUGAUGAAGGUCUUCGGAUCGUAAAACUCUGUUAUUAGGGAAGAACAUAUGUGUAAGUAACUGUGCACAUCUUGACGGUAUCUAAUCAGAAAGCCACGGCUAACUACGU
Molecule: ribosomal RNA, 495 nt
Filed under: uncultured bacterium
Lineage: Bacteria
Description: partial 16S ribosomal RNA
Rfam family: Bacterial small subunit ribosomal RNA
Source: RNAcentral